GGAGAGAUGGCUGAGUGGUCGAAGGCGGCGGUUUCGAAAACCGUUGUACUCUUUCGGGUACCGGGGGUUCGAACCCCCCUCUCUCCGCCA
This 90-nucleotide transfer RNA is filed under the name Lentisphaeria bacterium. RNAcentral describes it as "tRNA-Ser". It matches the Rfam family "tRNA". Rfam says of the family: Transfer RNA (tRNA) molecules are approximately 80 nucleotides in length. Their secondary structure includes four short double-helical elements and three loops (D, anti-codon, and T loops). The record is from RNAcentral. Lineage: Bacteria; Pseudomonadati; Lentisphaerota; Lentisphaeria.